AGACGUCUACAUUAGAUACCCCUGUAGUCCCAGCCGUAAACUAUGCUCGCUAGGUGUCAGGCAUGGCGCGACCGUUGUCGGUGCCGUAGGGAAACCGUGAAACGUGCCGCCUGGGAAGUACGGUCGCAAGGCUGAAACUUAAAGGAAUUGGCGGGGAGCACCACAACGGGUGGAGCCUGCGGUUUAAUUGGACUCAACGCCGGAAAUCUCACCGGAUAGGACAGACAUAUGAUAGUCGGGCUGAAGACUCUACUUGAUGAUCUG
This 264-nucleotide ribosomal RNA is filed under the name uncultured archaeon. Its description in RNAcentral is "partial 16S ribosomal RNA". It matches the Rfam family "Archaeal small subunit ribosomal RNA", at positions 714 to 982 of the family's 1478-position model. The record is from RNAcentral.